AAGUAAUUAUUUUUUUUAAUAUAUUUGAUUUCUUCUCAAAAGCUCGUGGUUUAUAUCAACAAUUACUUA
RNAcentral lists this transfer RNA (69 nucleotides) under Odontobutis potamophilus. RNAcentral's name for it is "tRNA-Arg". Lineage: Eukaryota; Metazoa; Chordata; Actinopteri; Gobiiformes; Odontobutidae. The record is from RNAcentral.